CAAAGUGCAACUCUGCCAGUCGUUCUGCUUGCGCCUCCUCACCGCCAAAAGCAACUCUCUCUUGCACCUUUCUUUAUCAUUCGAAAAUGGCAAUGAAACUGCCUAACCGCCAGAGAUUACUUAUUGCAGUCCGAUUCUCCCCAGAACAGCCCUUGAAGGGGCCGAAAGGCGAUGAUUGCUCUCUCUUUAUCUCAUGAUGUCAGUGCGCUCAGAAGCUGUGACUCUGCAACACCUUUGUCGGGCGAAGCGUCUCAUCCGAAUAGGAAAAGGAAGGAGCAGAAAGGAGGGAAAAAAAAUGUUUCCGGAGAGGUUGGAGAACGCCCUCAACGAUAAUAAUUUUUUAGAAUUACUGGAAUAUCAGUUUGUUGGUCUUAAAACUAAAUUGCAUUUCAUGGACGGUUUGGUAAGUGUUCUUAAAUUUAAUCUCAUGCUUUCCCCUUAUUUUACUUAUUAUAUUACAUUUCAA
Molecule: non-coding RNA, 466 nt
Organism: Punica granatum (pomegranate)
Lineage: Eukaryota; Viridiplantae; Streptophyta; Magnoliopsida; Myrtales; Lythraceae
Source: RefSeq, a predicted model, not a curated record